RNAcentral lists this ribosomal RNA (500 nucleotides) under uncultured cyanobacterium. RNAcentral describes it as "bacterial SSU rRNA". It matches the Rfam family "Bacterial small subunit ribosomal RNA", at positions 355 to 869 of the family's 1533-position model. Lineage: Bacteria; Bacillati; Cyanobacteriota. The record is from RNAcentral.
GGUGGAAUUUUCCGCAAUGGGCGCAAGCCUGACGGAGCAAGACCGCGUGAGGGAGGAAGGCUCUUGGAUUGUAAACCUCUUUUAUCAGGGAAGAAGAUCUGACGGUACCUGAUGAAUCAGCAUCGGCUAACUCCGUGCCAGCAGCCGCGGUGAUACGGAGGAUGCAAGCGUUAUCCGGAUUUAUUGGGCGUAAAGCGUCCGCAGGUGGUUUUUCAAGUCUGCUGUUAAAGCGCAGAGCUUAACUCUGUAACGGCGGUGGAAACUGAGAGACUAGAGUAUGGUAGGGGUUGCGGGAAUUCCCAGUGUAGCGGUGAAAUGCGUAGAUAUUGGGAAGAACACCAGCGGCGAAAGCGCGCAACUGGGCCAUUACUGACACUCAUGGACGAAAGCUAGGGGAGCGAAAGGGAUUAGAUACCCCUGUAGUCCUAGCUGUAAACGAUGGGUACUAGGUGUUGACCGUAUCGACCCGGUCAGUGCCGUAGCUAACGCGUUAAGUACCC